Molecule: long non-coding RNA, 478 nt
Organism: Parasteatoda tepidariorum (common house spider)
Lineage: Eukaryota; Metazoa; Arthropoda; Arachnida; Araneae; Theridiidae
Source: RefSeq, a predicted model, not a curated record
AAAAGUUGAAGAGAACUUAUUUAUGGUUAAUAAUAACAUUUCCCCAUCUGGAACUAUAUUUUAGCAUAAUAUGAAAUUUUGCCAUAAAAUAGUACUUAAAAUUGCUUGAAUACAUCAUUAUUACCAAUAAAUAGAGCUGACUAGAUUAUUUCAGCUCUAUUUAUGAAAAUAACUUAAAACGCACAAAAAUGAAUUAUUUAUUCUUGCUGUUCAUCGUUGUUGCUGUAUUAGUAGCAAUAGUCUGUGGCCAGCUCAGUUCAGACUGUGGAUUUAAAGGGAAAUGUGAACCACCACAUUGUCAAAUGACACUCUUUUUGGGAUGUCCAGCCUGUACUUGCAUAGGCGGGAUGCCGUAGAACAUCAUAUGCAACUUGUAUGCCGAAUCCCAUCCUGCAUUCAAGCUAGAGGUGGCCCAAGAGAGUAUUGAAACCUGAGUUCAUUUGUAUUUUUUUCUGCAAUAAAAUUGAUUUAUCAAUCA